UCAUUUCAAAGUUAUUUUAAAAUAGUCCCAUAAUUUUGAAAGAAGGAGUGUCUCCUCAUAAAAGAGGUCAGACCCAGACGACUAAUUACCAAAAACACAGGUAUCUGUAAAGUCGUAAAAUCAUUUAUGGGGUUGGCACUUGCCUGGAACCGGAAGGUCAAUGAAGUUGGUAACUUAAUGAUAGGGGAGCUGACUGACGACCAAAAUCUCGAUGAACAACGGUCGUAACUAUAACGGUCUUAAGAUAGCAAAAUUUCUUGUCGGGUAAGUUCCGACCCGUACGAAAGGCAUAACGAUCUGGGUACUGUCUCGAAGAGA
RNAcentral lists this non-coding RNA (318 nucleotides) under Phaseolus vulgaris (common bean). RNAcentral's name for it is "Bacterial large subunit ribosomal RNA". It matches the Rfam family "Bacterial large subunit ribosomal RNA", at positions 1700 to 2029 of the family's 2925-position model. Lineage: Eukaryota; Viridiplantae; Streptophyta; Magnoliopsida; Fabales; Fabaceae. The record is from Rfam by way of RNAcentral.